RNAcentral lists this ribosomal RNA (253 nucleotides) under uncultured bacterium. RNAcentral's name for it is "partial 16S ribosomal RNA". It matches the Rfam family "Archaeal small subunit ribosomal RNA", at positions 474 to 727 of the family's 1478-position model. The record is from RNAcentral.
UACCAGCACCCCGAGUGGUCGGGACGAUUAUUGGGCCUAAAGCAUCCGUAGCCGGUCCUGCAAGUCUUCCGUUAAAUCCAGCUGCUCAACAGAUGGGCUGCGGAGGAUACUACAGGGCUAGGAGGCGGGAGAGGCAAGCGGUACUUUAUGGGUAGGGGUAAAAUCCGUUGAUCCAUAGAAGACCACCAGUGGCGAAGGCGGCUUGCCAGAACGCGCUCGACGGUGAAGGAUGAAAGCUGGGGGAGCAAACCGG